UUUGCGCAGUUAGUCUUCAUGGAGGCACGUAGCUGGCCUGCCACUUGUCGAGGCAUGUGCACGCCUGAGCUCUUAAAUCCACAACACACCUGUGAACCCACCGUAGGCCUUCGGGCUUAUGCAUAUAUACUCUGAAUGUGUCAUAGAAUGUUCAUGUUGCCUUAAAACGCAAUCAAAUACAACUUUCAACAACGGAUCUCUUGGCUCUCGCAUCGAUGAAGAACGCAGCGAAAUGCGAUAAGUAAUGUGAAUUGCAGAUUUUCAGUGAAUCAUCGAAUCUUUGAACGCACCUUGCGCUCCUUGGUAUUCCGAGGAGCAUGCCUGUUUGAGUGUCAUUAAAUCCUCAACCCCACCGAUUUGCUUCGGGGGGAUUGGACUUGGAGCGUGCUGGCGAAGGUCGGCUCCUCUUUAAAUGCAUCAGUGGAGAAAGAAAGCUCGUCCCAGUGUGAUAAUCCUGUUGUGCUGUGGUGGGGUGAAAAUUCCGCUUCCAACCCGUCCUCCGGGACAAGACAUCUCAAUUUGACCUCAAAUCAGGUAGGACUACCCGCUGAACUUAAGCAUAUCAAUAAGCGGAGGAAAAGAAACUAACAAGGAUUCCCCUAGUAACUGCGAGUGAAGCGGGAAAAGCUCAAAUUUAAAAUCUGGCGGUCGCUCUGGCCGUCCGAGUUGUAAUCUGGAGAAGUGUUUUCCGCGCUGGACAGUGUACAAGUCUCCUGA
Molecule: ribosomal RNA, 717 nt
Filed under: uncultured Amphinema
Lineage: Eukaryota; Fungi; Basidiomycota; Agaricomycetes; Atheliales; Atheliaceae
Description: eukaryotic LSU rRNA
Rfam family: 5.8S ribosomal RNA (bases 181-335)
Source: RNAcentral